RNAcentral lists this ribosomal RNA (588 nucleotides) under uncultured bacterium. RNAcentral describes it as "bacterial SSU rRNA". It matches the Rfam family "Bacterial small subunit ribosomal RNA", at positions 338 to 949 of the family's 1533-position model. The record is from RNAcentral.
CCUACGGGAGGCAGCAGUGGGGAAUAUUGGACAAUGGGCGAAAGCCUGAUCCAGCAAUGCCGCGUGAGUGAUGAAGGCCUUAGGGUUGUAAAGCUCUUUUACUAGGGAUGAUAAUGACAGUACCUAGAGAAUAAGCCCCGGCUAACUCCGUGCCAGCAGCCGCGGUAAUACGGAGGGGGCUAGCGUUGUUCGGAAUUACUGGGCGUAAAGAGUACGUAGGCGGUUAUUCAAGUCAGAGGUGAAAGCCUGGAGCUCAACUCCAGAACUGCCUUUGAAACUAGAUAGCUAGAAUCAUGGAGAGGUUAGUGGAAUUCCGAGUGUAGAGGUGAAAUUCGUAGAUAUUCGGAAGAACACCAGUGGCGAAGGCGACUAACUGGACAUGUAUUGACGCUGAGGUACGAAAGCGUGGGGAGCAAACAGGAUUAGAUACCCUGGUAGUCCACGCCGUAAACGAUGAUAACUAGCUGUUCGGGCUCUCAGAGCUUGAGUGGCGCAGCUAACGCAUUAAGUUAUCCGCCUGGGGNGUACGGUCGCAGAUAACUACAANAGAUAGAGCGNGAGACGUGCGACGACGACGACGAGGGAGAG